Molecule: long non-coding RNA, 3000 nt
Organism: Corvus hawaiiensis (hawaiian crow)
Lineage: Eukaryota; Metazoa; Chordata; Aves; Passeriformes; Corvidae
Exons: 3
Source: RefSeq, a predicted model, not a curated record
CAAAAAGGUAUUGCCACUAGCUCUCAGCUGCAUGAAGAUGUCAGAGCAGCACUUGGAGCAUCCAAUUUAGAUAAGGCACUGUGGUUUUCUGCCUCCUGAUUACUGAUUUUGCUGUAACACUUCACAAAGUGUGAAUACACAUCUGUGAGCAUAAGAAGUGCUAACAUUGCAGUAUCUACAUUUUAGUAAAUGUUACCUUCAAUAAGAAUGCUUCAUUGGAGACAGCAAGAGUGUGUUUGUGUGAAACUAAUCUUCUGGAAAAAAGAAAUUGAGCCAUCUUGAUAAUUUCAACCUAAUAUUUUAGAUCUGCAAUGAAGAUGUCUACAGUCAAGCUAAUACCCUGCACUUUCUUUAGAGUCAAGGAAGAGAAAUAAAAAUUGGAUGAUAUGAUUUAGGUGACCAAUUUUCAACAUAAUUUAGAAUGGACUCAUGUACGUCCUACAAGUGGUUAUUACUUUCUAUGAACUAAAAAGAUGCUAACUGAGAAGAUUGGCUACGUCAACAUUUACACUGUAAACAUUCAUUUUGACAAUGUGAGUCCCACCUUCUCUAAAGCAGAACAGAAAAAAGGGAAAAAAGAAAAGAAAAAAGCAAUUAAUGAAGCAAAUCUGAUUGUCAGAACUGUCUUGAAGAGCUUGAGAGUUGUUAAAUUCCUUGCAGUUCUCUAGCUUUGCUGCAUAACUUCAUAAUUUGAAUCUUCCUUCCAUCUACAACUGGAUGCUGUUGAUUUAAUUUCACACAGAUACUAAUUAAUUAACAAAUCAAUUUAAUCAACUAAGCACAAUCAGUGCAAGUCCAGCUACAAAUUUGAUUUGUUGAUUGUACUAGUCGCUUGUAAUCAGUUUUGUAAAAUAAAAAAUUUACAGCUUAAUUGAUUUUUAUCCUACUGGCUUGUUAAACUUCCAUAAAAUGCUAAAAAGAACAAAGAGCUUCUGCCCCUAAAAAGAAACACAACCUGUAACUCUGCAAGAAUAUAUAUAAAGCAACCAAACCUUUUGCCACUUUGCCGUGCUACCAGCUUACCACAGUCACCCACAGAAGAUCAAGAAGUUAAAGCACUUUGAAAUGAUAAUGAGAUUCUCCCACCAGCCAGUAGGAACUCUUAGAGGAUAGGUGAAAUGUGAUAAGAAUUUGUCUCACAAAGAGAGGAAAAACACCUGUCUGAAAGACCUGGCACAGAAAUCUGUCCUGUGUUUCAACUGGCAAAUACGUCUGAAAAUUUGAAGAAAACGGUACUGGGAAAUAAUUUAUCCUAGAGUUGCAUGCUCUCAAUUUAUACUGUUCCACCUUACAGGAAUUGUUUUCCUUCCUGGACAGCAAUUCAAGAGAAGGGGAAGAUCUUAAAGGGACAACAGUGUAAGGAGGCUUUUUGUCUAUGAUUAACAGAUUGUGGUCAUCUAGUUUUAUGUAUCCUGAAGUACAGAAAUAAGAAAAGGCCCCAAAACCAACAAACCACCCAAUUUGAUUCCUUAAAAAAUAGGGAGAAAAUGGAGCCUUCCAGAGGAGCAAGAACUGCUGCCAAAGGAUACUAAGAAUAAGGGAAAUGAGAUCUUCCAUUUCCAGGAUUGUUCCACCUAUGUUUAUGGUCCCUCAGCAUCAACAUAUUCAAGCAGCUUCUUUUAGGAUUUUUGCAUCACGGGACCUGAUUUGAAUACCAGCCUCUGGAACACCAGACAUCUCCAAUACACUUAUUGAAAAUGUAAACGUGAAGGUUGUCCUGCACUGGAUUUUCCUGUGUUCAUGUUAUCUGAAGAAAUACCUGUGCUAUAUCACAGUUCCAGAUUCAACAUGUUCUAUGCAGCUGGCACAGUUAUUUUCGUCCCUCUUUCUGGUGAGGUUGAGAUAGAUGCCAAAUGUAUGUGAAGCAUGGAUGUAUCAGAAAGAUUCUCAAGAAACCUUUAAAGAAUUCUACUACAGUAGGGCAUCCCCCUGAAUGCAAGCAGAAGCACAGUGUAUUAGGCACAUUAGGGACAAGAGUGAUGCUCAAGGAAGAGACAAAAAACUGUCCUAACACAACAGGGAAAUGAACUUGAUUCUGGUCCUCUUUUCCUAAGACAGGCUAUAUAGACCUGGAAAAAUGUAAAUGGCUUUGUUUCAACACUGUAUCUGGGCUUACUGUUUAAAGAGAAGAACACCUUCACAGGUACACUCAAGUUAUACCACAGUUCUAGCAAGAAGCACAUGAUGUCUGCGGCAUGUACUGCUGUGGUAAUGCAGUGGGUGCUUAGAGAUUCAAACAAACCCAUCUUUCUGUGCAGGCCACUCUGGUAUUCCACAGGCCAUGAUAAGAGCUGCUGGGUGGAGGCCAGCUUUGGAUGUAUAGCAGUGCUCUAAGCACUAAAAGCAGUUGGGAGUCCUGUUACAAAGCUUUGGAAUUUGGCAUUGUGGUAAAAUAAGAUUAUGGCCCACAGAUUCCGAACAGACAUGAUAUUCCUGCCAGAAACAGGAAACAAUAACUGCGGUAGCAUUCGUGUUCAAGAACAGGCAGUUCUCAGCUGUCAUGCAUAUUGAAAAUUGGCAGGAAUCCCUAAAAAAGAAUGUUUGCUAAUCACUUCUGUCCAGGUCUAACCAUAUUUAGCACAGAAAGCAGUUUACCAGAUUCAUUAGCAUAUUACAUCAUAUGCUAUCUGUCUCUCUGCACCUCAGUUUCUGUUGGGAUUCAUCAUUAGAAAUUAGAAAAAGCAGAACAGAAUUAAGAAGCCAUCACAAUUCAAUAAAUCCAAUGAAACUAUCACUAGGGAAGUAGCCUAAAGCAGGAAUGUCAUGUAUUAGGUCUAUUACACAUGGUGAUUUAUGCUUUUCAUGGAUUUCCUGUAAAGAUUUUGACUUGGCAAAUUCGUGAUGAAAAUAAAGCGGCAUAUAAUGUUUCUCAUUUUUUGCUGAUUCUUCUGCUGGUGAAUGACUUUUGAUAUGUAAUGCAGUAAUACACCAAGGCUAUUUCUUAGAUAUGUUAGUUACAGUCAGCUACUUUUCUGGAAUAAAGAUGUCAUCAGAAAAUUC